Molecule: non-coding RNA, 252 nt
Filed under: Clostridium chromiireducens
Lineage: Bacteria; Bacillati; Bacillota; Clostridia; Eubacteriales; Clostridiaceae
Description: T-box sequence
Rfam family: T-box leader
About the family: Uncharged tRNA acts as the effector for transcription antitermination of genes in the T-box leader family. T-boxes are found upstream of many aminoacyl-tRNA synthetase genes and some amino acid biosynthetic genes usually in Gram-positive bacteria.
Source: RNAcentral
AUAAACACGUUGAUGAGGACAGUAAGCUAAAAUUUUAUUUUUCAGAGAGAGAAUAUACUGGUGUGAUUAUUCUUAAAUAAAUUUAGACUGAAAACCACCUCUGAGUGGCUCUAAUAAAGCCCGUAUUUAUCGCGUUAUGAUAAGCUUAAGUGACCUAUUUUGUUGGUUUUUAGAUAGUUAUGUACUUUUCUAUAUAAUUAAACUAUUAAUAGGUAAUUAGAGUGGAACCACGGAUAUUACUUCGCCUCUAUU